AACAGAGAGCUGAAAUGAGUACGUGCACUCAGAGUGCCGGCCAGUCCCAACCAUCUCAACAAACAGUCACCAUUCAAGCACUACCCGAUCCACGCCUGCGACGUCUUCUUGUCAGUAGUAUUUUUGUCGCAGUAACGUUCGGACAGACAAUUUAACUGCAUUGUAAUCAACUUGUUUGCUGCAUUUGCACGUCAGUAGUCUUCACCUUAACCUAGGACAACAACACACUCAGCCACUGUGACCGCGGAGCGCGUGAGAGCAUAAAACUCGUACUCCUCUACUACAACAAAAACAACAGCACAAACUUCAAUCGCACUCAAUACUAGCUUUUGAAAGCGCAACCACUGUAAAACAAUAUGGGAAAUCCACUUUGGUUUAUCUUUUGGUUUUUGGUCUU
Bactrocera neohumeralis is the source of this 397-nucleotide long non-coding RNA. RefSeq lists it as uncharacterized. Lineage: Eukaryota; Metazoa; Arthropoda; Insecta; Diptera; Tephritidae. The record is from RefSeq and is a predicted model, not a curated record. The transcript is spliced from 2 exons.